Molecule: long non-coding RNA, 610 nt
Filed under: Paramuricea clavata
Lineage: Eukaryota; Metazoa; Cnidaria; Anthozoa; Malacalcyonacea; Plexauridae
Source: RNAcentral
GCUGGGCAUGACUCUGGAGAAACGGAAUACCGGAUAUCCAAUUUUGGAUAUCCGGUUAGUUGUGCGCAUGCUCAUGCUCAAACCGCAACACUGAAUUCGCGCGGGCGUCAUUAGUUUCAAUUAGAAAUAAAAUUGUAGAAUUUGUCGAAAAUUUGAUACUUUUUACAUUGAAAUCAAUUGAAAAAGAUUUAUUUUCUUGUGCUAAAAGUUACAGAUUAAAUAUAUAUGCGGUGUAUAUAAAUUAAGCUUUCUUAUGGAUUUUAUACGGUCAAGAAAUGGUAUCGAGAGACUUCGCAAGAAGGCCACUGACAGAGGUUUAGAGGAUCUAGAUUUAUACUACAUACUAUUUAGUAUUUAAUAGAUAGUUUUUAUAAUAUUCAAAUAUCUAGAAUGCUUGAUGUGCCACUGUGGACCUAUGGCUGGUUAGCCUAUUUUGUUUAUUACAAUUAAAUAAUAUAAUUGGUGCCUUGGUGUAUAAUUGAUACUUAAAAUGAGUAUGAUUGUAUGAAAAUACUUCCCUCUGUUUAAUUAACUCUGUAUCACUCCUUUGAUUUAACAUUGUGCAUUGCAUUCAUACAAACAGUUCCAUGGUUAUAUGUAUUUAAUUGAG